GUAACUAUGUCAUCAUUUACUCAUCAUAUCAAUAAGAUCUCUGACGGUUGAAUAUUAAAAAAAAAAUACUAUAAAAGCUUUUUGUGCCUCAAAUAUAUAAUAAAUAAAGGUUGAAAACAGUGCAAAUUUUGUUAACUCAUUUGGGCCUAAUAUAUAACACGAAAAAGAGGCAAAAAGAGCAUAGGUUCGGCUACAUAUGAGUCUGGUAUCAUCCAUUAUAGCGAGGGCAGACCAAUGAGUCCAUUGGCAGAAGAACAAAUCCAAUAUCACUGCCUAGUACUCGUCUCCUUCUUCUUCUUCUCCGUCAGCAGACUCAGCACCAACUUCCUCGUAAUCCUUCUCAAGUGCAGCCAAAUCCUCUCUAGCCUCCGAAAACUCUCCUUCCUCCAUGCCUUCACCCACAUACCAAUGCACAAACGCCCUCUUCGAGUACAUCAAAUCAAACUUUUGAUCAAUUCUCGAAAACACCUCAGCCACACUCGUUGAGUUCGAAAUCAUACACACAGCUCUUUGAACCUUAGCCAAAUCCCCGCCAGGAACCACCGAUGGUGGCUGGUAAUUGAUUCCACACUUGAACCCAGUUGGGCACCAGUCCACGAAUUGGAUUGUUCUCUUUGUCUUGAUUGCUGCCACUGCUGCGUUCACAUCUUUUGGUACCACGUCUCCUCUGUACAUCAAACAACAUGCCAUGUAUUUCCCAUGGCGGGGGUCACAUUUCGCCAUCAUUGACGAGGGCUCAAAUGCGCUGUUUGUGAUUUCUGACACUGAGAGUUGCUCGUGGUAGGCCUUCUCUGCUGAGAUAGAAGAUAUCGAUUCUGAUAGAAAGAAGAGUGACUGUUACCAAGAACGACACGUGAACGUAGUCGUUUUUGCUAGGCCGAUCUUGCCUAGCUCGCCUCUCAGUGGCAAGUCUGCUAGUUCCAGUAGUCUCAAGGCCGCCUCGCACUGACGGUUUUGUUAAUCUGUCAAGGUUCGUUAUUUAUUUAUUUGUUUAUUAAGUUUCUGAUCAUUGAAUGUUGCUGAGAAAAUGGAGUAAAAAACAAAGAUUUUACUGUAUUACUUUUCCUUUAAAAAAGGGAAAUCAUCGUUCUUGUUUGCUUUCCGAGAAACCGAGGGAAAACAAUCUAAUCUUCAGUAGCUUUUUUUUUUUUCCCAACUCAGUAGCUUUUUAUCGUUUUUGAAGUUUGGAUGCUGAGAAAAAUAGAGAUUCGUUGUUCGGUUUUGUAAAAUUUUCUCUUCUUGUUCGGUUUCGUAAAAUUUUCUCUUCUUGUUUGGUUUCCCAGAAAAGGAGGGGAAAAGGAAAUCGUAUCUUCAAGCUGAUUUUGUUUUUUGAUUAUUUCCAUUCACGUUUUAGUCGAUUUUGUUAAAAAUCUUGCUUUCCUUCUUUCUUGUUUGGUUUCCUAGAAAAGCGAGGAAAUAAUAGGAUUCCCGCGAAAAAAUCUCUCUCUUUUGAAAUCUCCGGUUUGGGCCGGGCUGAAAUCCUUAUCCCGAUAUAUUUAGACCCGGCUGUCGCUGACCCGUUUUUCCUGUUCUUUUGGCAGGAAUUGGCUGAUGAGAAGGAGGCAGUGUGAGUGAUGCUCGAGAGGAGGAAUCAAAAAUCUUUUUGCUCACCUUUUCCUGUUUUUGUUUCUGGUUUUUAAUUUGGUAGCUUUCUUUUGUUGCUAGGACCCUAGAAGUAUGACCAACCAAAAUGAGAAGAAGGGUCUUGUCUUUUGUGUACAGCUAAAAAGCAAAUUUCAUGAACAUAAAACUGUGUGAAUAGAAACUCCAUCAUCUGUUUAAUCAUAUGUUUUGUGUAUGGCAAAUCGUUGGUAUUUCGGCAAUUUGUGAAUAACUCCAGAGUAGUGGUUUAAGAUAGCGUGUCAACCCAAAAAAAAUGCCAAGUGGUAAACGUGGCCCCCACAAUAAGUAACUAUGUCAUCAUUUACUCAUCAUAUCAAUAAGAUCUCUGACGGUUGAAUAUUAAAAAAAAAAUACUAUAAAAGCUUUUUGUGCCUCAAAUAUAUAAUAAAUAAAGGUUGAAAACAGUGCAAAUUUUGUUAACUCAUUUGGGCCUAAUAUAUAACACGAAAAAGAGGCAAAAAGAGCAUAGGUUCGGCUACAUAUGAGUCUGGUAUCAUCCAUUAUAGCGAGGGCAGACCAAUGAGUCCAUUGGCAGAAGAACAAAUCCAAUAUCACUGCCUAGUACUCGUCUCCUUCUUCUUCUUCUCCGUCAGCAGACUCAGCACCAACUUCCUCGU
This 2240-nucleotide long non-coding RNA is filed under the name Citrus sinensis (sweet orange). RNAcentral describes it as "long non-coding RNA (CSIN_LNC002756)". The record is from RNAcentral. Lineage: Eukaryota; Viridiplantae; Streptophyta; Magnoliopsida; Sapindales; Rutaceae.